GACGAACGCUGGCGGCGUGCCUAAUACAUGCAAGUAGAACGCUGAAGGCGGAGCUUGCUCUUCUGGAUGAGUUGCGAACGGGUGAGUAACGCGUAGGUAACCUGCCUGGUAGCGGGGGAUAACUAUUGGAAACGAUAGCUAAUACCGCAUAACAGUAGAUGUUGCAUGACAUUUACUUAAAAGGUGCACUUGCAUCACUACCAGAUGGCCCUGCGUUGUAUUAGCUAGGUGGGGGGGUAACGGCUCACCAAGGGGACGAUACAUAGCCGACCUGAGAGGGGGCGCUGCCACGCUGGGACGGGAGCACGGCCCAGACUCCUACGAGUGGGAGAAGUAGGGGACCUUCGGGGAUGGACGGAGGUCUGACCGAGGAACGCCGCGUGAGUGAAUAAGGUUGUCGGGUCGUGAAGGUCUGUUGUAAGAGAGGAACGAGAGGGAGAGUGGAAAGUUCACACAGUGACGGUAUCUGACCAAGAAGCGACGGCUAACUACGUG
This 495-nucleotide ribosomal RNA is filed under the name uncultured bacterium. RNAcentral describes it as "partial 16S ribosomal RNA". It matches the Rfam family "Bacterial small subunit ribosomal RNA", at positions 28 to 507 of the family's 1533-position model. The record is from RNAcentral.